This 1059-nucleotide ribosomal RNA is filed under the name Reichlingia zwackhii. RNAcentral's name for it is "SSU rRNA". The stretch from base 137 to 1059 matches the Rfam family "Bacterial small subunit ribosomal RNA", at positions 1 to 1294 of the family's 1533-position model. Lineage: Eukaryota; Fungi; Ascomycota; Arthoniomycetes; Arthoniales; Arthoniaceae. The record is from RNAcentral.
AAUGGCCUAACGGCUGAACCAGCAACUUGUGUGAAGGUAAAAGCAUUUUGUUUAAACAAAAUGUAGUUUUUUUGUCAUAGUUAUGACUGCUAUCUUUAAUAAAACCAAAAGUUUUAUGGAUAGUAAUUAAGUUAAAGGAUAGAGGGGAUUUAUCUUCGCCUUGCGGGGCCCUUGGCCGAUUUAACUUAAUUUUUUGAAAGCUUCGGCUAUAAGCGAUUUAUUCGCAUAAGUUUCCAUGCAGAAUACAGAUGAUGACUAUUUUCUGCAUGAUAGUCUUGGCCAAAACACGUGCCAGCAGCAGCGGCAACACGGGAUUAGACGAGUGUUAUUCAUCUUUAAUAGGUUUAAAGGGUACCUAGACGGCAAAUUUAUCCCCCACAGGGUUGGAUUGGAACAAUUUUGCUAGAGUUUUAUGUGAGAGGGAUUUAGUACUAACAGAGUAGAGAUAAAAUUUUUUGAUACUGUAGGGCACUGAUAACGGCGAAGGCAGACCUUUAUGUAAAAACUGACGUUGAGGGACGAAGGCUUGGGUAACAAACAGGAUUAGAUACCCUAAUAGUCCAGGCAGAGACUGAUGAGUGUCAUAGAUUAGAUUAUAUUUGGUCUAUAAAUGAAAGUGUAAGCACUCCACCUUAAGAGUAAUGCGGCAACGUAGGAACUGAAAUCAUUAGACCGUUUCUGAUACCAGUAGUGAAGUAUGUUGUUCAAUUCGAUGAUCCGCGAAAAAUCUUACCACAAUUUGAAUAUUAUAGCAACUAUAGGAAAGUCCUUUAAUUAUAUUGUUAAUGUGAUGUAAGUGCUAUUAAUACAGGUGUUGCAUGGCUGUUUUUAGUUGGUGUCGUGAGAUGUAGGUUAACUCCUAUGUAAUCAACGUGAACCCUCGCCUUAUUUUAUGAAUAUAUACAUAGGGUUGAUGUCUGAUCCGUCGGAUAAAUAAUAGGGAUCAAUACAAGUCCUCAUGGCCCGAACAUUGUGGGCUAUAGACGUGCCACAUAAACCUUGACAAAGGGAUGCUAAAAUGUGAAUAUUAAGCUAAUCUCUAAAAAUUGGUUAAAAAAA